UUUUUUUAUAGAUGAAAAUCCACCACCUAGAACUGUGAUAAGUAUCAUUGAAUGAAUUGCCGUGCUUGAUUUACGUCGAUUGAGUUAAAAUGUUUCUUAAAGACCAUGAAUCAAGAGAUCCCGUAACGUCUCGAAGGGGACCAACUGAAGACGAUUCGAUGCAAACGACACACCAUACAGAUUCUAGUCACAAUGAUUCUUCAAUCUCAGAAUGCUGAUUCUCCAUUGUUGGUUUACGUACCGACAGAAUGUCGAAGAAGCUGAAACCCCUAAUUCUCAAAAAUGACUAUCGUGAAUGGACCUUUAUCUCUUUAUUAGGCUUGACAAUACAUAUUUACAAUAAUAAGAUAACAACCACGAAGCCCGUUUGGAAUCUAAAGAAAGUAAUGAAUAUGUUAAUGAAUUGCCACGUGUCAUUCUCUCAUUUUCCUAUUUUCCGACAUGGCAGCCUCUAAAGAGAUAAUUCUCUUCUUUAUAUUAAUAUAUCAAACAAGUAAUAAAAAAGUAAUAUAAGCUCCAUUAAACCUAUCCACGUCAGCAUAAAAAAUCAGCCAAUGAGAAACUUGGUUUUUGCCACAUCACACCGGAUUUGGGUAGUGUUGAGCUGUUUUUUUUUUAUCCGUGAAGUGAAUUAUUUGGCCCAAAUUUCAUGUUAUCUUCUCUUCCAGAACUCAAUCUCUUCGCCUCCACUUUUCAGAGCUUCAUCUCUUCGCCUCCCAUUCGUAUCUCUUAAGCUUCCCUGUUUUAAUUAUGCCAUAAUUACUACUUCUGAUCUCUUAGAUUUUCGUCUUCGUCGCCGUCUUCAACCUCUUAACGAUCGGACCAACCACUUUCAGCGUUUUCCAAGUAUUCUAUUGACUACAGCUGAAACCGAUCUCCGCCAAAGUAAAAUCAGUGUCUCUCUUAAGCUAUGAAGAUUUGGGUCUUGAAGGAAUCAAACAAAGAGUUGAGUUUUUUUUUUUUUCAACUUUCGAUUCCUUAUUAUGUCAUCAUGAUUAGACUUAGCUAAGAUUUGUGCUUGAUCCGUAUUCCUACAAUGUUACCAUGACUGAAAACCUGGCGGCUGAGAAUGAAAGGAUGAAUGAUGUCGCAAAGAUCAAAGUUGUUAACAGAUGCCUAAGUAACUUUUAAAAAAAGUACUCAGCAAAAAACGAGGAAGACGUUGUUGACACAAAUUCCAAUUGCUUAACAGUUCAUGAAACCAAACUUAAGCUCAGUCUCUCAUGUUUUGGGUUGAGUUGACUAGCCUAUGUUGAAAAGCAUGAACCUGUGUUUGAUGCUGUGCUAAAUGAGGAAGUAUCAAAUGGUGAGGUGGCUGAUAUAUGAAAGACAUGAUCAACACUUAUCUGGAGUUUAUCGUGAGGCAGUGGAUCCCCUAAAUUUUCAGCGCAUUAAUGCCACUUGCUUGGCAUAUAGGCAGACAGGUAGUUGUAAAACCUAAACUAUGAAGGCUUUGCCUCUUUAAGUCUUCAAGGGAUUUCCUAAGUUCGGUGCACAAUGCAUACAAACCCAAUUGUUUGGUAUAAACCAUAUCGGUUCUUCUCCGGUAUGCGACUUAUCCUACAAAGCUGUGUUACCCGAAAUCCGAAAUGCGCAAGAGCGAUUUAACGUGUACCGCGUGGAUUAUAGUGGUCUUCUUCUGCUGGAAGUUCAGACACUAUGCCAACUGAGUAAAGAAAGAACUAAAGAAAGGUAUCAGAAGAGCAAGGAGUGCCAGAAAGUCAUUAUUUUGCUUCAGUUAAGAGUUCCAUACAAAUAAUAGUUUAGGAUCUUUUCUGGUUCCCUUUAUUCUCUAAAAACCCACUGCACAUGUACAUGUAGAAAAGGCAACUCCACAAAUGGUUACUCUAUCAAAUAUUGUAAUACUUUAACUCUCACAAACCUAUUAACGAUGAUUCUUAUAGAUAGAUCCAUUUUUA
Brassica napus (rape) is the source of this 1919-nucleotide long non-coding RNA. RefSeq lists it as uncharacterized. The transcript has 6 exons. Lineage: Eukaryota; Viridiplantae; Streptophyta; Magnoliopsida; Brassicales; Brassicaceae. The record is from RefSeq and is a predicted model, not a curated record.